GCUGUACUUUAUUAAUCUUUUCCAAAACAUGUAAAUAAUGAAGUCUGUUGCACACCACAUCUGGAAUUCAUGACUAUACUGUAAGAUUUAUACAGUAGAUGGCCCUUCAUGUAUGGAGGUAGUAUGUACACCAGAAUGUGCCUUUUCUUUUUAAGAUUUCAAACAAUGGAAAAAGCCACUAAGUAUUUAUAGUGUCUGUGUGCUAGGGACACGGGGAAGCCCAGCACGUGUGCGUGGAAGGCACCGGAACCUCAUCCAGCUGAGUAACAAUUGUGGCUGGUGCAGAGCCAUACAGGAGGCUCCGGCCGAGCCCAGAGUAGCUGCGUUUCUUCGCUGCCAGCCUCUCAAGUGAUGACACCAAGGCAUGAUCUUAUCUUGACUGUGGCCACCGGUGAAGAAAAGCAUAUCUCUAAUCUCAGAAGCACAAGCAGUUCAUACCAGGAAACCAAGAUUAGAGCAUCAUGCUAUCAUCUUUCAAAAUUACCACACAGGAUCAGCAGAACCCUGGACACAGAUGGAGUGGGCCCCACAUCCUUCACUGCUUCCCAUGAAGGAUUUCCAGGAUGGGGGCCCUCUUUGCCGUCUCCUCCCUUUAUGGCGAAUAUGGGUGGGGGAUGGAGCUGGGCAUGCCCCUAUCAGCCCCUCCCUUGCUCUUCUUUCUUUAGAUCUUGGUGUAGUGAGAGGGCUUUUUCUUCCUGUUUUUUUGGAGGGGGGAUCUACGUGGAGCUGUUCAAUGCUGCCUGUGAGUGGGUAUCAGCUUGCUUAGCUCAAGAGUGAAAUAGAAGCCAGCUCACAAGGCCCAGCAGUACAUCCCUUUCUCCUGAGUUCUUCCCAGUAUGAAUCUGGUACUUGCAUUUCUUUCUGACUCCUCACUAUAUCUGCCAAAUAGUUCCAAACUUGAGUAGGGAGAGACGAUCAUCUCCCAUCAAAUGUACAUUAUUCAUGCAUGGUAAUGGCCUGAAAGAACCUGAGACACAUGGGCUCAUGCUGAUAGGUGCACCUUCUAAGCAGUAGUCAUCUUUUAGCAUUUAUUGGAAGAGGCUAGCCCCAGCUCUGGCAAAGGGCUGAGCAGCUCACAUGUUCUCAGUAUCACAAAAUGAAAGCAUUCAACAGGCCCACUCCCCUCCUUCGUGGAAGGCAAUCUGAGGACCUUCUGUUGAUGUUGCAACAUGUGGCUGGUGGCAGGAUCUCAGUCCUUCCAGAAGGGGUGUGGGAAGACUUCCUCCACCUGGUGUAUAUAUUCUCCCUAAGCAGAUCUGGCAAAUGCAAAUUUAUCCAUAGCUUUUCAUCACCAAUGAAGUUUUCGUAUCUACAUUCCCUCCUGAAGACAGAAAACUUGUCUUUGUAACCCUUUUUAUUUCAGCUGAUCUACAUAAUUAGUUCAGAUUUACCCUAACAAAUGGCUUUUACCAUUUUUCAUUUCUCACCCUAUCACAAGACACUGCCAUCAAGUUUAGAUUAUGAAAAUGGCUGAAGGCAAGGGGGCCAUAUGAGAAAGUGCAAUCGAAACAUGGUCCUUCUUGCCCAAGAGAAGUUGACGUUUUUGGCUCAGAGAAUUAAAGCACAACGACUAUUCCUGAGAAUCAGUACGGUAGUCAUAAGAAAACUUUUUCUUGGUGGGCAUAGUGUUGCAGGCCUGUCAUGUCAGCACUUUGGGAGGUUGAGGCGGGAGGAUCACUUCAGCCCACAUCUUGAGACCAGCCUAGGCAACAUAGUGAAACCUCAUCCGCGCUAAAAAUAAAAAUUAAAAAAUUAGCCAGGUGUGGUGGUGCGAAAUCUGUAGUCCCAGCUACUUGCUUGAGCCAGGAGAACAAGGCUGCAGUGAGCCACAACUGUGCCACUGCACUCCAGACUGGGUGACAGAACAAGAUCCUAUCUCAAAAUGAAGCAAAAUAAAACAACUUUUUAUUUCUAAAAUGGAACUACUAAUUAUAACUGCAGACAUUUCUAUACAAUAUUUCUUUUUAAUCUCUUUUGAAAUUAAGUCCUUUUUUUAAAGUGGUAAGAAUACACAUAAUUAGUGCAUAAGAAUACAAAAGUGGUAAGAAUAAAAAAAAAAAACCCCUCCAAACCCUAUUGAUUUCCAACCUCAGCUCACAACUGACACCUUAUGCGAAAGUUAACUAAUAUCAGUCUUCAGCAGGUCAGAGAUGGUGGCUAAUGCCUGUAAUUCCAGCACUUUGGGACUCUGAAGGGGGAGGAUCACUUGAGCCCAGAAGGUUGAGAUCAGCGUGGGCAAUAAAGUAAGACCCUGUCUCUACAGAACACUAAAAAAUUAGCCGGCAUGUUGACGCACACCUGUAGUCCCACCUACUCGGGAGGCUGAGAUGGAGCAUCGACUGAACCCGGGAGCUUAUGAUCUUGUGGCCACUACACUCCAGCCUGGGGGACAGAGCAAGACCCCAUCUCUAAAAAUAAAUACAUAAAAAUAAAACCUUCAACAUAAAUGUGAAUCUAAAACUAUAAAAUUUCAAGAAGGAAUCAGAAGAAAAUCUUUGUGACCACAGGUUAAAGAUUUCUUAGCUAAGACAACGAAAGGAUGAUCUGUAAGAGGAAAAAAAAAAAAAAAGGAUGAAUUGGGACUUCAUCAGAAUUAAAAACAUCUGCUCUUCAAAAUGCCAGAAAUACAAAGAGAACACUGAAAAGUAUAUUUUCAUCUCAUACGUUUUCUUCCCAGUCCAAUUUCCCACUCCAGCAUCAACCAAAUCCUGCUACCAUUUCUCAGGUUCCCUCCUAAGCUACUCUGCGUAUCAUAAGCAUAGAGAUAUCUACUCUAUGGUGGUUCUAGUGCUUUUUUACUAAGAUUUUUUUAAACACAAAACUUCCAUACUCAAUACACUUAUUCAGUGUAGUCCCACACUCUCGAUAGCAUUCACUAGUCAUGCAUGUAGCUGAGGCCAAAUUCUGUGGAAGUCAUUCGUUUUGAGGUUUACUUAAGCAAAUAAGAAAACAAAACAUUAAAAUUUUAAUUUGUUUGCCUUGGUUAAAACAGAAAAUAUUUCCUAGGUUAUCAGCUCACUGUGUAUGAUUUAGGCCAUAUUUCAUAUUUUAGCUGUGUCAGCUGUGGUAUCCUGAGCGAAAGAAGUCAUCUGAGGCCUUACACCAAAAUAUUAUUUGAAGCACACAGAAACCAGCUUCUUCCAUUUCUCUGGGUAUUGUGUUUUAAAUAAUGAAAUCCUCUCUUAAAAAUGAGGAUCUCUAGUCAUGCUGAGGACUGGAGGAAGCAUUUUCUUCAGGCUGAAUUUUCUGUUUGUUCGCUUGUUUUUGAGGCUCUGUCGCCCAGGCUGGAGUGCAGUGGCGUGGUCUUGCUUGCUGCGACCUCCACCUCCUGGGUUCAAGCAAUUCUUGUGCCUCAGGCUCUCAAGUAGCUGAGAUUACAGAUGUGUGCCACCAGGCCUGGAUAACUUUUGUAUUUUAGCAGAGAUGUGGUUUCACCAAGUUGGCCAGGCUGGCCUCAAACUCCUGACAUCAAGUGAUCCGCCCACCUCAGCCUCCCAGAGUGUGGGAUUACAGGCGUGAGCCACUGUACCUGACUCUGAGGCUGAAAGAAAAUCACAUUCCACAACACAGCUCACUUCCCAGAAGAUUCACUCAACUGUCGGAGUGAGCAAGAAGAGCACUUCCUUCUCUCUCUUGUUAUCCUGUUUUAUUUACUCACAGCAUUUAUUACUGAAAUGACUACAUUGAUGUAUUUCAGACUUUCUGCCUGAAUGCCCAGCCCUCCACCCCAACUCCUGCCCUGGGAAUCAGAGGGGUUUUCUGUUCAGCUGUGCAUGGCUGUGGUUGAGGAUCUGGUAUCAACAGACCCUUCUCCACUGACUGAACCUCAUUUCUAUCACUGGGAUUGGCCCUUUUACUGCUAUCUGGUUUGUAAAUUCAGCAGCCAUUUUCAGAUGUGAAAAGGUAAGAGAUGAGCAUUUGGAGUGAUUACCAUCAAUUCCACAGUACUGGUUCUGAGUACUCCACAUCCCCCAGACCUGCACUGUCCCACUAUGGUAGCCGUUAGCUACAUGUAGCGAUUAAGUGCUUCAACAGUGGUUAGUCGGAACUGAGAUGUGCUGUGUCAAGUAGAUAGCAGAUUUUAAAAAUCCAGUUUAAAGGACUGGAAAAUGAUCAUGACUAAUUUUUGUAUUUACAUGUUAAAAUAAUAUUUUGAAUAGAUUAGGUUAAAUAACAUGUACUAUUACAAUUUCCUUUUCCUUUUUAAUGUGACUACUAGAAAACUGAAACUGCGUAUGGGGUCUGCAUUGAUAUUGUGGUUCACAUCCUAUUUCUACUGCACAGCUCUCCUUGAGGCCUAGUCUACAAGUUCCCUCACUUCUCACGAGGGUUACUGUCUGUCUGCCCUACGAGGGGUUCGCCAGAUGCUCUGCUGAAGAGGAAUCAUACCACAGAGCCUCAGAAUCUGAGGACUUGCUUUCUGAGGCUCAGUAUUUGGGGCAGUAGUGAUAGAUUUUUCCACGUAAUGGCAAAAAGUUGUCUCCCAAUUUUUUACAAGCUUCCCACUUGCUGACCUCUCAAGUAAUAUUAGAAAUGAUUCUAAGAGUGCCUUUCUCAAACUGUUCCAGUUACCUAAGACAUUCACACAUGUCAGCAUGUCUGGGGCACCAUCGGUGCUAUCCAUCGACCUAGGAGAGCACUGUCUCCAGCACAGCCUCCUCCUUCAGGCAGUCAGAGGAGACUCGUUUCCAUAGAGAUGUUCAUCCUAUUCAGAUCAACUACAAGACCACGGCUGUCUGGGAGUUAGCCCGCCUGCUGCAGUGAGAAUGGGUAACAGCCAGUCAUGGGGAGGAAGUGUCCACUCUGAAGACUUAGGUGAAGGGCAGAAGAUGGCAGGCUUUCCAUGGAAAGGGUCUCAUUCUGUUGCCCUGGCUGGAGUGUGGUGGUGCAAUCACGGCUCCCUGCAGCCUCGACCUCCCAGGCCCAAGUAGCUGGGACUACAGGUCACUUAAUUUCUGGGGGUAUGGAGGAGAGAGAUAUUCUGGAGACGGAGAAAAUAAAAGCAAGCCAGACUGUGGGUCCACCGGCUCCGAGGCCAAGAUCAACGCUGGUGUACCUGGCAGUGAAGUCGGCCAGAGCAUUCUAGAGAUCACCUUUAAAAUGUAUCCCUCUUCUCCUACUGAAGUUGACAGAAAUCUGAUCUGGCUUCUUCGAAAGCAAACAACAAAACAUCCCAACACGCAACAUAACCCUGAGUCUUUAAAAGAAACCUGGUGCUUGCACCAGGGGCGUGCAGAGGUCUGGAACCCAUUACGGUCAAUUCUCUAAGGGGCAGCUUAUCUCUUCCUCUGAUGCUAUCAGUUUGCCAAAGAAAGUUAAAGACAAAAGUCAACUGCUGCACCCUGUUGGAAUGUGACCAUGUGCAGAACUUGAAAUACACGAAGACUAAUUUAUGUCCCGAGGGGAGUGGCUCUCAUGGGAAAGUUCAUUUGUGUCUGCAAUGAACUUCGAAGCUAAUCAUACUACAAAACUGUACAGAAUGAGCAUCUUGGUGCUCGCUUCGGCAGCACAUACACAAAAACUAGAACGAUACAGAGAAGAUUAGCACGGCCCCUGCGCAAGCAUGACACACAAAUGCGUGAAGCUUCCAUAUUUUUUUUUAAAAAAAGAAUGAGUAUCUUUAAAUUAUUUCUGAAAUGAGAGCUCCAAGUAGCCUUUGAGAUUGGUAAACUUUAGAAAUAAAGUAUACUCACAAAGCGGCAUCUCCUUACUCUGCACAAGACUGAUUUAGGAUCAUUAUUCGGUAUCUAAGCCUUUCCUUUCAACUGUUUAAGACAUAGAAUGCUAGUGCAUUCUACAUUUAAAGUUUGAAUUCUACCAGUUUUGGAGCUCAGAACUCAAAUUCGCAGAGUUCUAAGUCUGACAAUUAUCCUCUUUUUGCUUUUAACAGUGAUUCACUUUCUACACUGAGUGUAACUACAUUUUCCUUGAAUUAUUUUUCUCAUUAGUGGUGGUGUGAGAAGCCUUCUUUUAGGAGGAAAACACACACACACACACACACACACACACACACACACAGAGGGGGCGGGGAGAGAGAGGGAGAGAGAGAGAGAAAACCACCAAGUCAUCUGUAUCUAAGAUGUCCAGUGUAUCUGGCACACUCUGGGCUGACAGGCAGUAAACAAGGCUCUUGCUAGGCCUGGUUUUCAGUCACUGACAACAAAGAUCGGUACCUUCAAUCUCUGAAUUACACGUUUAUAGCUUUUCUUUUUAGUCUUAGAACCCGUCAAGGACAGGCUCUAAGACAAAGCAAAGCUGCUGGCUCCCAUCUGCUGAAUAAGCAGUGGAGUUCUUUUGUUCACUUUCACUUUGCCCAGGGGUGGGAUGGGAUGGGGAGGGGGUGGGAUGGAGGUGGGAAGGGACAGGGUCGGGGAGCGGUGGGGCUGGGGUAGGCCUGCGGGAGGCAGCUUACUCAGUCCUCAGCCACCACCUGAGGGCCACUCUCCAGGAACUUACUCCCCUCUGGGCUCAGUUUUCUUAGAAGUCAAAUGAGUAGAUUAGGCUAAAUUCUGGCUCUAAAAUGGAGUAACCAUUACAGGAAGUGAAAAGUAAUUCUUCUGAUUAAUACUGAUCGGGAAAUAGGAGGGUGCCAGAAGUAGUUCUACUGCUAAUCAGCUCUCUCUGAACAUGCCUGGGACUUGCUUUCUUCCUAUGUUUUCUUUUUACAAAAAGAAUAUUCAUUAUGAGAAAUUAAAGUGUCAGAAAGUAAAACUAAAAGAGUAUAACUGGAUUGUUUGUAACACAAAGGGUAAGUGCUUGAGGUAGUGGAUAUCCCAUUUACCCUGAUGUGAUUAUUACACAUUGCAUGUCUGUAUCCAAAUAGCUCAUGUACCAUAAAUAUACACACUUAUGUACCCACAAAAAUUAAAGUUAAAUAUUUAAAAAAAUGAAGUGAAAGUAGUAGGAUAAUAAAGUAAAGGAUUUCCCCCAUAACCACCAAUCCUCAUACAAUUCCACUCCACAGAGCAAAACACUGAUAGUAUUUCGGUGCUAUCUUUCUAGAACACUUACUCUACAAAUAUAAAUAAUUAUAACACUCAUAUGUUUACACGUUUGGGUUGUCUGUUCACAAAAGUUGGAUCAAGUGUAUGCACAUUCUCCUCAGUAAUCUUUUGUCUUUCAACGACAUGCCAUGGGCAUCCUUCCGUGUUGGUACAUGAAGAUUUAUUUCAUGCUUUUGAAUGGCCUCAUAGUACAGACAAACAGUUCUUUAUUGAGAGACAUGUUCUCUUCAAGUACUCAUUAGUGCAAACAGUGUAGCAAUAAAGCUUCCUGUACAAC
Callithrix jacchus (white-tufted-ear marmoset) is the source of this 7281-nucleotide long non-coding RNA. RefSeq lists it as uncharacterized. The record is from RefSeq and is a predicted model, not a curated record. NCBI's taxonomy places the organism in Eukaryota, Metazoa, Chordata, Mammalia, Primates, Cebidae.